AGAGAGAUUAUCCUCGAGGGUCUGUAUCAUUGGAAGGGGCAGCUAGGUCUGUGAGUGAACAAACAGAGAAAUCAAGCAGACAUUUAGAUGCUGAAUCGAGUCCCAGCAGAUUCUUACAUCCUGUUUGAAGUCUCUGCUUUCCUUAAAUAUUGUCUGUUGCAAACACAUUGGAGCAAACAGAAGAGACAUUAAACGUUACAGCUCAUAAAACACAUACAAUGACAUUUGUCCCUGGUGGCAGUUGAAGAAAAAAAAUCUGUUGUUUGUUUGAAAUAUGCUAGCAGAUUGUAAAAUUAUUCAAAUCACAUUAACAUGGUAACCAAACCACCACUGAUAAUGUUCUCCUAAACCAAAUAUCUCAGCAGUUUAGCAAUUGUACAAUCACAGGAACACUAUUUAGUACACUUACUAGAUGGCCAUUCAUAAAUGUUGCGGAGCGGUAAUGAUAAAACCAAUGUCUCCACUGGUGUGCUGUAAAGCAUGAAAGGAAGCGUUGUUCAGCAGAAUAAUCCCAAUCCCCCAGUAACUGUCCGACACACAGUUCUGGGCGUCAACUGUUUAAUAGGAGCCACACACGGCCUUAUAUGCAACUUCCCAUGCAAGGGGUUUCCUAAUACAUAUUCCAGGGGCAUUCCCAACUGGACGUAAGAGGAGACUACAGUAAAACAUACACAUAAUUACAUCAGGUGCUCUGGCCAGGUGUUGCUGUAGAUAGCAAUAUCGCCCAGGUAUGCACAUACAUAAUCCUGGAACCCGUCCAAUAGCCGAUCUAUCAUCCGCUGGAAAGUUGGCGGGAUGUUUUUCAUUCCGAAUGGCAUCACCCGAAACUAGUACAGACCAAACGGGGUGACAAACGCCAACUUCGGUAUGGCAUCCUCUGCUAGCGGAAUUUGCCAGUACCACUUGCAGAGAUCUAUUGUAGUGAAGUACUGGCCCCUGGCCAUCUUAUCUAAGAAUUCGUCUAUCCUGGGUAUAGGGUAGGCGUCAGACACAGAUUUGUCAUUCAGAAAAUUCAGUGUCUGCAUGCACAGAGUGGGGACACUGAAUGGUAGUGCUGCACAUUAGGCAGGACUGCUUAAGGAAGCACCUAUAGAAACCAUCUAAAGAGUGGCCAGUGAAGUUAUCACUAGGCUGUAGUGUUUACAGCAAAAAGCCUGAAGGUAAUGAUUCUACUCACCAGAACAAAUGCAAUAAGCUUUAGUUGUUCUAGUGACUAUAGUGUCCCUUUAACAUUGAUUACAUACUUUUAAAAGUUUUUCUUGCUUUUUUUUGGUUUGUAUAUUUGUUUAAAAGUGUUUGCUUACUUGUCUAAAAAUAAUUGUCAAGUGAUACAUGUCCCUUUAACUUGCUCUAUUACCCCUUUUGUUGUGUACUCCCUUGAAUGAAGACAUCUGCUGCCAAGGCAUUAGCCUGUGAACCAUGCAUGAAGCCUAGAUCCCUUCUCUCUGGCCGUUGCACAAGCAGCUCCUAUAUAUUAAUUUGUCCUUCUCCACAUUCUUUGAAGGAACACUGUCAUCACCCAGACCACUUCAUGUCAAUUGAUUUAAGUUUGAAUGCACUCGUGUUGUGUUUGAUUGCGCCACUCAUGCACAUUAGGUCCCUAAUGCUCAUCUAUGAAAAAAACACUGGAUUGGACACCGGUGGAGUAGGUCAUGCCCAGGAAGCAGAGAGGUAAGCAUCAAGGGAGUCUCAGCACUGAAAAAGGUUUAAUCUAAUUGUGACCGCAUCAGUGGGGGGGCUGAAAAAGAGUAGGGGCAAGGACAUUAUAGCAUUAGGAAUACAGAUUUGUAAUCAUAAAGCUAUAGGGUUCCUUUGUGAUCAAAAUCACUUGUUAUUUGUCCCCUUUCUUUAAAUAAACACUUCUCACUUGUAGUUCUAAUGUUUCUGGAUUCAGGCUUAUGUGGCAUUACAUCCUCUCUCAUCUCCAAUGAUUAUUCAAUUAAAUUUGGACCUUUUAUGAUCUGGAUCGAAAUGCUCUGAUGCAGCAGUUCCAAAAAUGUGUACCAGGGCGCCAUGGCUGGCAAACAGGGGUGCCGGAAAAUGUUUCCUCGGUGCUAUGCACCAGGGCCAGUACAGUCAGGGUACCCAUUGGGUGGCCCAUUCACUUAGGGCCACCCAAUCGGUAUAUACCUCUUUUGUUGCUCAACAGGGGCCUGGUCAGGUGCAGCGACCCUUUAAGACCCUGACCUGGUCCCUGUGGUAUCAUCAGGCUGGGAGGAAGUGACAGUCUGUCAUUUCCUCCCAGCUUCUUACUGAGUACCAAGCCGGUGGUUGGAUGCAGCCGUGGAUCAGGCAGCAUGGAGGCAGAGGUGAGGCAUGCUUACUCCCAUCAGCAUCAGCCAAGACCCCAAGCAAGCAACCCUCCUCGACAUAAGGUAAGCUAAUUGUAGUAUAUCAGAUUGUGUGUGUGUGUCUCUUUGUCAUCUGUGUGUGUGUAUCUGUGUGUCAGAGUGUGCAUCGAUGUGUGUCGGUGUAUGUAUCUGUGUGUCAUGGAGUGUGCAUGUAUCAGUGUUUGUGUGUGUCAGCAUGCGUGUAAAUGCAUGUCAGUGUGUGCGUUUGUGUGUGUAUAUGUUGGUAUAUGCAUAUGUCAAGGUGUGUGCAUGCAUCAGUGUGUGUUUAUGUGUCGUUGUGUAUUUAUAUGUAUGUAUGUGUCGGUGUUUAUAUUAAUUUGUGUGUAUGUGUCACUGUAUUUAUAUGUAUCUCUGUGUUAAUGUGUAUGUAUAUCUAUGUAUAUAUGUAUGUGGUAGUGGAUGUGUGUAUGUGCAUACAUACAAGCAAUCAAACACCAGCACAACAUGCAAACACACUCCUGCAAUCUAACACAAAUAUUACAUACAAACACAGCCCUGCAUUCAAACUCCUAAAUUAUAUACAAACACAUUCCUUCAAUCAAACAUUAAUACUACACACAAAUGUACAUGCACAUUUAAAAGUGAAGAUUACAUACAAACACACCCCUGUAUUAACACUAAACUUAUAUGUAAGCACCCCUUUAAUUAAACGAUAUACAUUAUACCAGUGCUCCUCAACCCUCCCCUCAAGGCACACCAAACAGCCCAGGAUUUGGGGAUUACCUGGGUGUGUCUAAAAUGAUUUAAAAAAAACAAAAACAACUAAAAACACCUUAGACUCUAAGGUGUUUUUUUUUUUCUUUUUCUUAACACCAUAGACAGGUAAUACCUAAAUCCUGGACUGUUUGGUGUGCCUUGAGGGGAGGGUUGGGGAGCACUGCAUUAUACUAUAGUGCCAGUAUAUGCCACAGCACUGUACAGAUAUGCAACCUAAAACUUUGUUUUGACUUGGGGUGCUUUGGAAAAAUAUUGAAAAAUUAAGUGGACCUUGAAGCUAAAAUAUUUGUGAACCACUGCUCUGAUGUGUUUAAUGUUAGGGGUCCUCCCGAACAGUUCGGCAUUCAAAUGGAGUUUUAUUUGUAGCUUUUGUAGGUAGUCUGCUUAGUAUACAAGUAACUGUCAUAAAUGCAUCAGUCUAUAUUUAUUCAAAUUCAGUGAAUCUGUCAGCAGGCACCUGGCCAUCUGCAUUAAAGAGCG
Non-coding RNA from Pelobates cultripes (western spadefoot toad), 3548 nucleotides. Lineage: Eukaryota; Metazoa; Chordata; Amphibia; Anura; Pelobatidae. The record is from the annotation of a GenBank genome assembly.